GGAUUAGAUACCCUGGUAGUCCACGCCGUAAACGAUGAGAACUAGAUGUUGGGCCGCAAUGACGGUUUAGUGUCGAAGCUAACGCGAUAAGUUCUCCGCCUGGGGAGUACGGCCGCAAGGCUAAAACUCAAAGGAAUUGACGGGGACCCGCACAAGCGGUGGAGCAUGUGGUUUAAUUCGAUGCUACGCGAAGAACCUUACCUACCCUUGACAUCCUGGAAAGCUUGCGUAAUGGCGAGUGUGCCUUCGGGAAUCCAGAGACAGGUGCUGCAUGGCUGUCGUCAGCUCGUGCCG
This 294-nucleotide ribosomal RNA is filed under the name uncultured bacterium. Its description in RNAcentral is "partial 16S ribosomal RNA". It matches the Rfam family "Bacterial small subunit ribosomal RNA", at positions 775 to 1067 of the family's 1533-position model. The record is from RNAcentral.